CGCACGGGUGAGUAACACGUAUCCAACCUGCCGUCUACUCUUGGACAGCCUUCUGAAAGGAAGAUUAAUACAAGAUGGCAUCAUGAGUCCGCAUGUUCACAUGAUUAAAGGUAUUCCGGUAGACGAUGGGGAUGCGUUCCAUUAGAUAGUAGGCGGGGUAACGGCCCACCUAGUCUUCGAUGGGUAGGGGGUUCUGAGAGGAAGGUCCCCCACAUUGGAACUGAGACACGGUCCAAACUCCUACGGGAGGCAGCAUG
Molecule: ribosomal RNA, 257 nt
Filed under: uncultured bacterium
Lineage: Bacteria
Description: partial 16S ribosomal RNA
Rfam family: Bacterial small subunit ribosomal RNA
Source: RNAcentral